AGUGAACGCUGGCGGUAGGCCUAACACAUGCAAGUCGAACGGCAGCACAGUAAGAGCUUGCUCUUACGGGUGGCGAGUGGCGGACGGGUGAGGAAUACAUCGGAAUCUACUUUUUCGUGGGGGAUAACGUAGGGAAACUUACGCUAAUACCGCAUACGACCUACGGGUGAAAGCAGGGGAUCUUCGGACCUUGCGCGAUUGAAUGAGCCGAUGUCGGAUUAGCUAGUUGGCGGGGUAAAGACCCACCAAGGCGACGAUCCGUAGGUGGUCUGAGAGGAUGAUCAGCCACACUGGAACUGAGACACGGACCAGACUCCUACGGGAGGCAGCAGUGGGGAAUAUUGGACAAUGGGCGCAAGCCUGAUCCAGCCAUACCGCGUGGGUGAAGAAGGCCUUCGGGUUGUAAAGCCCUUUUGUUGGGAAAGAAAAGCAGCAGGUUAAUACCCCGCUGUUCUGACGGUACCCAAAGAAUAAGCACCGGCUAACUUCGUG
Molecule: ribosomal RNA, 492 nt
Filed under: uncultured bacterium
Lineage: Bacteria
Description: partial 16S ribosomal RNA
Rfam family: Bacterial small subunit ribosomal RNA
Source: RNAcentral